This 484-nucleotide ribosomal RNA is filed under the name uncultured bacterium. Its description in RNAcentral is "partial 16S ribosomal RNA". It matches the Rfam family "Bacterial small subunit ribosomal RNA", at positions 29 to 507 of the family's 1533-position model. The record is from RNAcentral.
AUUGAACGCUGGCGGCAUGCUUUACACAUGCAAGUCGAACGGCAGCGCGGGCUUCGGCCUGGCGGCGAGUGGCGAACGGGUGAGUAAUACAUCGGAACGUGCCCCGUAGUGGGGGAUAGCUCGGCGAAAGCCGGAUUAAUACCGCAUACGACCUGAGGGUGAAAGCGGGGGGUCUUCGGACCUCGCGCUAUUGGAGCGGCCGAUGGCAGAUUAGCUAGUUGGUGGGGUAAAGGCCUACCAAGGCGACGAUCUGUAGCUGGUCUGAGAGGACGACCAGCCACACUGGAACUGAGACACGGCCCAGACUCCUACGGGAGGCAGCAGUGGGGAAUGUUGGACAAUGGGCGAAAGCCUGACCCAGCAAUGCCGCGUGUGUGAUGAAGGCCUUCGGGUUGUAAAGAAGUUCUGGCGGGAACGAAAAGGAUUGUGCCAAUACCACGGUUCGAUGACGGUACCCGCAGAAUAAGCACCGGCUAACUACGUG